Apis laboriosa (Himalayan honeybee) is the source of this 1415-nucleotide long non-coding RNA. RefSeq lists it as uncharacterized. The record is from RefSeq and is a predicted model, not a curated record. The transcript is spliced from 3 exons. NCBI's taxonomy places the organism in Eukaryota, Metazoa, Arthropoda, Insecta, Hymenoptera, Apidae.
UUGGCGCACUUAUACUUGCAAGUGGAAACUGGUUGAACAUCGUGAACGUAAAAAAAAAAAAAAAAAAUCAGCUAAUUAGUCUAAUGAUCAAAUUAACGAAUUAUACUUAUUGUAUCAUUUGGAUUAGAAUAAGAAAGUUAAAAAAAAAAUAUAUAUAUAUAUUAUAUAAAUAUAUAUAGAGCAAGAAAAUUAAAAAUUUGGAGUAGAAGGAGAGAUUCAACGAGGAAGAAGAAAGUCCAAAUAGAGUGGGUAGACGCUUUCGAGGAGUAGGCUCUAUAUUUAUCGCGGCAAUAAGGCGGCUCGAGGCCGAGUGUCGUCAAGCCAGAGGUCGGAGGGGAAGCGGCAGUAGUGCGGGAAACGUCGGAGUGCAGACCGGCGUCGUCGGGACAAUCGGUGGCCGUCGUUAUCGUUAACGACGCACCAUCCAAUACCGUCGUCACUCUCUCCUAUUUCUUUUCUCUUUCCUAUUUCCCUUUCCUUCCUGUUUUAGUUCCCUACCUUUUCCUCUCACUUUCCUCACCCCGCGUUUCUGUUUUACUUGAAUCGCACGGCCAUUCGACCGCUUAACCACCGAACCACCCAACUAUCCAACCAUCCAUGUUUCCCACCCACCCAACCACCCACCUAUCCAGCCACCUACCCAUCCUAUCAAGCUAACCAACCAUCUGACUGGAUAAAUCGUUCGUCAGAAAUCUAUACGAGGUUUAUCAAGUUCUGGUACUAUUACGAAGCUAUCUCCGUUAAGUUAGCGUCGUGUUGCGCCGCCAAUAGCACGUUGCUAUACCAUGCCGUGGUGACUAUUUCUCUGACCAUUCCCCUGCCGAUUCACGGCACGAGGCCACGCCAGACUACAUCUAGCGUGACCUAGGGUGGCGUGGCACAGUAUCGUUUAUCGCAGAGACCCAAACUCUUGGAAGGGAUCUACGCGACGUCUCACGUAUCUAGCAUCGAAUGCGCCAGGAACGAGGCUAUUAUGCGAGUGCGCAUACAUAUCCACACCAAACGAUCGACGGUAUGCCUGCACGCGAGUCUCACUUACCACGUAUGAAUUUAUGUUUGAUUUCGUGAGAAGAAAGACAAAGACCGAACAGGGAGUGUGAAGAAAUGGAAAUAAUGGAAGAAAGUUGUCAAACUUAGAUUUUUGAUUUCUUUUUUAUUUUAUUUUUAAUUUACUUAAUUGAAAAUUAAAUUAAUUAAUCGAUAUAGAGAUUCUUUCAAUUACUUAUCUGAAAUAAAAUAAAUUGAAAAAUAUUUUAUUUUUUUUGAAAAGAAAUUAUGUUCUUAUUGCUUUUAUCAUAGAAUCGAUUAUAAUUUUUUCUUUUUGAUUCACUAUUAUUUACAAUUAUUUGUAACUUAAAAAUUAAUUAAGAAAUAAUAUAUACGAAAGAAAAAUUCAUUUUUUGAAUUUAUUUUUA